AUUCCAGCUCCAAUAGCGUAUAUUAAAGUUGUUGCAGUUAAAACGCUCGUAGUCGGAUUUCGGGGCGGGCCGACCGGUCUGCCGAUGGGUAUGCACUGGCCGGCGCGUCCUUCCACCCGGAGACCGCGCCUACUCUUAACUGAGCGGGCGCGGGAGACGGGUCUUUUACUUUGAAAAAAUCAGAGUGUUUCAAGCAGGCAGUCGCUCUUGCAUGGAUUAGCAUGGGAUAAUGAAAUAGGACUCUGGUGCUAUUUUGUUGGUUUCGAACACCGGAGUAAUGAUUAACAGGGACAGUCGGUGGCAUUCGUAUUUCAUUGUCAGAGGUGAAAUUCUUGGAUUUUGGAAAGAUGAACUACUGCGAAGGCAUUUACCAAGGAUGUUUUCAUCA
Molecule: ribosomal RNA, 388 nt
Filed under: Gephyrocapsa cf. muellerae
Lineage: Eukaryota; Haptophyta; Isochrysidales; Noelaerhabdaceae
Description: partial small subunit ribosomal RNA
Rfam family: Eukaryotic small subunit ribosomal RNA
Source: RNAcentral